AGAAAACUUAAUUUCAAUCGCGGAAAACAUAUUCUAGAGAAUUUAGUCUAAAACAGGAAUAGAUCACUACUAGAACCACUGUUGCUAAUAAGUGGACUAGUAUUGGUACCAGUGAAAUGAUCAAGCAACUAGUAGACAAUAAACAAAUACACAGGCUGCUGGUGAUUCCCUGCAGCAUGUACAUGGCCUGGCCACGUAAGGCAGAGCGCACAUGGCCACGUUCGGAUAAGGAGACAGACUUUAGAGAAUAAAUCCCCAAUCUUCCUGGGACUCAAAAAGGCGGAGAGCCGGAGAGCCCAUGGCCGCCACCACCUCCACGCAUGCCACCGGAGCAGCGUUCACCGGCGACGAGAUGUGUUCCCGUCACGCUCGUCCUCAUCCGAGGAUCCGCCAGGGAGCUGCGUCUCGGGCGCGACGCCGUUCGUCAGUCCCAGCGCGGCCGGGCUCCAUGAGCCGGCACGGCGGCCUCGGCUACUUGAUGGCGAGGCGUCCGGCGGGCUGGGAAGCGUGACGCCGAGAGCCAUGAGGCGACGGCGAGCGCCUGUGCGAGGCAAAGGCGGAGGAGUGGCAGGCGCGACGGCCCGACAGUGUCCGCGUCGACAACCACAUCGUUGGCUUUGGCUUCAACAACCGCAGGAGUUGGAGACGGCAGCGCCCCGGCCUCAUCAUCGUCGUCGAUUAUGACGACCUCGUUCGACUGGCCGGUGCUCAAGUCCCGGCACGGCGGUCGAUGGCGGCCAUGGUGCGGCCGUAAAGCCUCUCGGCGAGAGUGCUCCAGCCCGCGUUGGCGGGACAGGUGCGCGCGAGGGCGCGACAGAGCGCGGGAGCGCGGCGCGGCCAGGCAGCGGCCACGGGCAGGAGGGCGCGCAGCCGGGCGGCCGGGCGCGGGGGCAUGUUGCAGCGCGGAGGCCGUGGUUUGGGGCGCGGCGGGGAGGGCGGCGGCCGAGGCGCGGGGCGGCCAGCGCGGCCAGAAGGCGAUGGCGCGACGCGCGGCAUGGCCGGGCGGAGCCGGCCACGGCCUGGCUCGGGCGGGGCGCAGUAGCUACGCGGCCCGGAACGGCCACGGCGCGGGCGGCCGACGACGAGGGCACGAUGCGCGGUCGUGCGAAAGUUUUGAGGCCUGGUGCUCUCGGUUACGAGCGUGCUGAUAACGUGUUUUCAAU
Molecule: ribosomal RNA, 1163 nt
Filed under: Triticum aestivum (bread wheat)
Lineage: Eukaryota; Viridiplantae; Streptophyta; Magnoliopsida; Poales; Poaceae
Description: partial small subunit ribosomal RNA
Source: RNAcentral